RNAcentral lists this ribosomal RNA (400 nucleotides) under uncultured eukaryote. RNAcentral's name for it is "SSU rRNA". It matches the Rfam family "Eukaryotic small subunit ribosomal RNA", at positions 592 to 1002 of the family's 1831-position model. The record is from RNAcentral.
CAAUAGCGUAUAUUAAAGUUGUUGCAGUUAAAAGCUCGUAGUUGGAUUUCUGGGAGGGUGCCAAUGUCCGUCGUCGUACGUGUUGCAGCGGCGCCCUUCCAUCCUUCUGUUAACGACUUUGGGCAUUCACUUGCCGGAGUCGGGCUCAGAUAUUUUACCUUGAGAAAAUUAGAGUGUUUCAGGCAGGCUAGGGCGGAAUACAUUAGCAUGGAAUAAUGGAAUAGGACUACGGUCUCUUUGUUGGUUUGAGGGACUAUGGUAAUGAUUAAUAGGGAUAGUUGGGGCAGGUUAGUAUUUAAUUGUCAGAGGUGGAAUUCUCAGAUUUGUUAAAGACUAACUUAUGCGAAAGCAUUUGCCAAGGAUGUUUUCAUUAAUCAAGAACGAAAGUUAGGGAGUCGAA